AUGUAGAAGCUUGAUUUGGAUAGAUAAAGAACUGGAGAAUCAGCAGGACGUUGAAUAAGUCUCAUAGGAGUUAGGAUGAAGAAGCUAUCCCACUUUCAAAUCAGGAGAUCCCAGUUUUUCUGUUUGGGAAUAUGACAACUUCUUCGUCAUUCUUAUCAAACCAAGAUGAACCGCGAUGUAAGAAGCCUGAUUUGGAUACAUAAAGUAGUGGAGAAUCACUAGGAAGUUGAAUAAAUCUCAUAGGAUUAGGAUGAAGAAGCUAUCCAACUUUCAAAUCAGGUGAUCCCAGUUUUCCUGUUUGGGAAUAUGACAACUUCUUCGUCAUUCUUAUCAAACCAGGAUGAACCGUGAUGUAAGAAGCUUGAUUUGGAUAGAUAAAGUACUGGAGAAUCAGCAGAACGUUGAAUAAAUCUCAUAGGAGUUAGGAUGAAGAAGCUAUCCCACUUUCAAAUCAGAUGAUCCCAGUUUUUCUGUUUGGGAAUAUGAAAACUUCUUCGUCAUUCUUAUCAAACCAGGAUAAACCGUGAUGUAAGAAGCUUGAUUUGGAUACACAAAGUAGUGGAGAAUCACCAUGAAGCGGAAGUUAGAAGCUUGAUUUGGAUAGAUAAAGAACUGGAGAAUCAGCAGGACGUUGAAUAAAUCUCAUAGGAGUUAGGAUGAAGAAGCUAUCCCACUUUCAAAUCAGGUGAUCCUAGUUUUCCUGUUUGGGAAUAUGACAACUUCUUCGUCACUCUUAUCAAACAAGGAUGAACCGCGAUAUAAGAAGCUUGAUAUGGAUACAUAAAGUAGUGGAGAAUCACCAGGAAGUCGAAUAAAUCUCAUAGGAGUUAGGAUGAAGAAGCUAUCCACU
This 850-nucleotide long non-coding RNA is filed under the name Brassica napus (rape). RNAcentral describes it as "long non-coding RNA (BNAP_LNC017114)". Lineage: Eukaryota; Viridiplantae; Streptophyta; Magnoliopsida; Brassicales; Brassicaceae. The record is from RNAcentral.